Molecule: unclassified non-coding RNA, 379 nt
Filed under: uncultured Gammaproteobacteria bacterium
Lineage: Bacteria; Pseudomonadati; Pseudomonadota; Gammaproteobacteria
Description: contains 16S-23S intergenic spacer region
Source: RNAcentral
UCCGGCUUGCCACCGGCAGUUCCACUAGAGUGCCCAGCUUAACCUGAUGGCAACUAGUAGCGAGGGUUGCGCUCGUUGCGGGACUUAACCCAACAUCUCACGACACGAGCUGACGACAGCCAUGCAGCACCUGUGUUCCGAUUCCCUUUCGGGCACACCCGAAUCUCUUCAGGCUCUCGGACAUGUCAAGGGUAGGUAAGGUUUUUCGCGUUGCAUCGAAUUAAUCCACAUAAUCCACCGCUUGUGCGGGUCCCCGUCAAUUCCUUUGAGUUUUAACCUUGCGGCCGUACUCCCCAGGCGGAUGACUUAACGCGUUAGCUGCGGUACCAAGGAAUCGCUUCCCCAACACCCAGUUGACAUCGUUUAGGGCGUGGACUAC